RNAcentral lists this ribosomal RNA (253 nucleotides) under uncultured bacterium. Its description in RNAcentral is "partial 16S ribosomal RNA". It matches the Rfam family "Bacterial small subunit ribosomal RNA", at positions 524 to 776 of the family's 1533-position model. The record is from RNAcentral.
UACAGAGGGUGCAAGCGUUAAUCGGAUUUACUGGGCGUAAAGCGCGCGUAGGUGGCCAAUUAAGUCAAAUGUGAAAUCCCCGAGCUUAACUUGGGAAUUGCAUUCGAUACUGGUUGGCUAGAGUAUGGGAGAGGAUGGUAGAAUUCCAGGUGUAGCGGUGAAAUGCGUAGAGAUCGGGAGGAAUACCGAUGGCGAAGGCAGCCAUCUGGCCUAAUACUGACACUGAGGUGCGAAAGCAUGGGGAGCAAACAGG